GACGAACGCUGGCGGCGUGCCUAACACAUGCAAGUCGAACGGAAAGGCCCGGAUUUUGUGGGCUGCUCGGGUGGCGAAGGGGGGAGUUACACGUGAGUAACCCGUCCCUGACUGUGGGGGAACAUCAGGAAACUUGGGCUCUUACCCGGGAGGAGCUCUUGCAGCUUGGUGGGCGUCGGUAAGUUUCGGCGGUUGGGGAUGGACUAGCGGCUUACCAGCUUGUUGGUGGGGUAGUGGCUUAACAAGGCUAUGAAGGGUAGCAGGCCUGAGAGGGUGACCGGCCACAUUGGGACUGAGAUACGGCCCAGACUCGUACGGGAGGCAGCAGUGGGGAAUAUUGCACAAUGGGCGGAAGCCUGAUGCAGCAACGCCGCGUGCGGGAUGACGGCCUUCGGGUUGUAAACCGAUUUCGCCUGUGACGAAGCGUGAGUGACGGUACUGGGUAAAGAAGCACCGGCUAACUACGUG
This 468-nucleotide ribosomal RNA is filed under the name uncultured bacterium. RNAcentral describes it as "partial 16S ribosomal RNA". It matches the Rfam family "Bacterial small subunit ribosomal RNA", at positions 28 to 507 of the family's 1533-position model. The record is from RNAcentral.